This 326-nucleotide unclassified non-coding RNA is filed under the name fungal sp. RNAcentral describes it as "partial internal transcribed spacer region". The stretch from base 1 to 46 matches the Rfam family "Eukaryotic small subunit ribosomal RNA", at positions 1786 to 1831 of the family's 1831-position model. Lineage: Eukaryota; Fungi. The record is from RNAcentral.
AAGUCGUAACAAGGUUUCCGUAGGUGAACCUGCGGAAGGAUCAUUAAUAAAUAAUCCAAUUCAUGGAUUUUUAUAAAUCCAUCCACCUUUUGUGCACUGUAACUUUGUCCAUUGCUUUAUUUUUUCCCUUCUUUGGAAUUUUAGUGCAUUAGUCUUAUUAAUUUAAGAUGAAGCCUUUAAGACUUAAAAGGAGGGGAAAGGGAGCAAUAUUAAACACUUAUAAUUUGUCUUUUUGUUGUCUGAAGUAUUAAAACUUUUUUUGCGAAAGCAGAAAAUUUUAUUUUACUAAAAAAAAACAACUUUCAACAACGGAUCUCUUGGCUCCC